RNAcentral lists this long non-coding RNA (1073 nucleotides) under Canis lupus dingo (dingo). RNAcentral describes it as "lncRNA (ENSCAFG00020018898.1)". Lineage: Eukaryota; Metazoa; Chordata; Mammalia; Carnivora; Canidae. The record is from RNAcentral.
CUGCAUCCCCCCCAUCACCACCCCCUCCCCCACCCAGCAACCGCCUGCGAUCCUUACACGUUUUUUACGGGCUAAUCUGAAAUUGCCUGCCCUAGAAAAAUGGUUGAAUUCAGGGUGUUUCUGAGCUUUCGAUUCUGCGCCGUGUAAAACAGAUUUCAUUUAGACAAAUUACCCACAUAAUCCAUCUUUUCUGAAUGCCUGUUAGAGAGCAGCUGCAAAGAGGACUGCCUUCUCCUCCUGUUUUCAGAGCAUUUGAAAGUCACUGGCUCCUUAAUCCUGGGAGAAGCAGGCUCAAAGCCUCCAAGCCAAGAGCCAAUAAACACGCCUGGAUUCCGGGCAGCCGUCACGCAGAGCCACGUGGCCGCCCAGCCACCCCCGGUCUUUGGCCCUGACCGUGCUUUUUACCUUGUGCCUUGGGAGCAGGUGAGUGAAAUAGAAAUCAAAGCAGCUUACGUUGCUGCGAGAAAAGAGCUUGGGCACCUAUGAAGCGUUUGAUCCUAUACUGGGUGGAGGAGGGUGGAAGAGGAUUAAGAAGCAACAAUCCUGUUCCUCAAGGAACUAACCAUGUAGUAGUAGCAGGCGGUAAAAUUAAUAUAUUUGAAUAGUCAGUAAACAAAACAAGUCUUCCAAGACCACCCAUUACGGCUCCCCCUCUGUGACUCCCACGACUCCUGCUUUAUUUUUGUUAGAGGGAAUUCAGACAAAAUCAUGUUGGUCCACCCUCACACACAUUUUAUUGUUGACGAAAUCCAGGCCUAGGGAAACCAAAGUGAACUAAGUCACAGAGCCAGCAAGGAGUGGAGUGAGGACUUGAAACCAAGUUCCCUGUCCUCUUUUUGAGAUAUUUGUUUAAUAGGAAAAUUAGUAUUUUUCCCCUCAUCCCUUAAAAAGAUUUCCCCUAUUCUAGGGAUGCCUGGGUGGCUCAGUGGUUGAGCGUCUGCCUUGGGGGGCUCCGGAUCAAGUCCCCCCCCUUGGGGUCCCCACAGGGAGCCUGCUUCUCCCUCUGCCUGUGUCUCUGCGUCUCUGUGUCUCUGAUGAAUAAAUAAAUAAAAUCUUUUUUAAAAAUCCCCCUA